RNAcentral lists this ribosomal RNA (1334 nucleotides) under Chlamydiales bacterium cvE16. RNAcentral describes it as "bacterial SSU rRNA". It matches the Rfam family "Bacterial small subunit ribosomal RNA", at positions 93 to 1407 of the family's 1533-position model. Lineage: Bacteria; Pseudomonadati; Chlamydiota; Chlamydiia; Chlamydiales. The record is from RNAcentral.
UAGUGGCGGAAGGGUUAGUAAUACAUGGGUAAUUUACCUCUAACUUAGGGAUAACGGUUGGAAACGGCCGCUAAUACCGAAUGUGGUGGUGAUAGGCAUCUUAUACGCAUUAAAGCUGGGGAUCGUAAGACCUUGCGGUUCGAGAAGAGCCCAUGGGAUAUCAGCUAGUUGGUGUGGUAAUGGCGCACCAAGGCUAAGACGUCUAGGCGGAUUGAGAGAUUGACCGCCAACACUGGGACUGAGAUACUGCCCAGACUCCUACGGGAGGCUGCAGUCGAGAAUCAUUCGCAAUGGGCGAAAGCCUGACGAAGCGACGCCGUGUGAACGAAGAAGGCCUUCGGGUUGUAAAGCUCUUUCGCUAGGGAACAAGGGAAGCGGGAUAAUAACUUACUAACUUGAGGGUACUUGGUAAAGAAGCACCGGCUAACUCCGUGCCAGCAGCUGCGGUAAUACGGAGGGUGCAAGCAUUGAUCGGAAUUACUGGGCGUAAAGGGCGCGUAGGCGGCGGAAAAAGUCAGAUGUGAAAUUCCGGGGCUCAACCCCGGAGCUGCAUUUGAAACUUCUUGUCUAGAGGAUGGUUAGGGAAAACGGAAUUCCACGUGUAGCGGUGAAAUGCGUAGAUAUGUGGAAGAACAUCAGUGGUGAAGACGGUUUUCUUGGGCGAACCUGACGCUGAGGCGCGAAAGCUAGGGGAGCAAACAGGAUUAGAUACCCUGGUAGUCCUAGCCGUAAACGAUGAAUACUGGGUGUAGGUGGGCUCAACCCCAAUUGUACCGGAUGCUGUCGAAACCUUUUAGCCGCCUGGGGAGUACGCCCGCAAGGGUGAAACUCAAAAGAAUUGACGGGGGCCCGCACAAGCAGUGGAGCAUGUGGUUUAAUUCGAUGCAACGCGAAGAACCUUACCCAGGCUUGAAAUGUAAAGAACAACCUCAGAAAUGAUGCUUCUCUUCGGGACAUCUGGAUAGGUGCUGCAUGGCUGUCGUCAGCUCGUGCCGUGAGGUGUUGGGUUAAGUCCACCAACGAGCGCAACCCUUAUCGUUAGUUGCCAGCAUGUAAAGGCGGGAACUCUAAUGAGACUGCCUGGGUUAACUAGGAGGAAGGUGAGGAUGACGUCAAGUCCGCAUGGCCCUUAUGUCCGGGGCUACACACGUGCUACAAUGGUCGAUACAGAGGGCUGCGAAGCCGCGAGGCGGAGCAAAUCCCAUAAAACCGAUCUCAGUUCAGAUUCUAGUCUCAACUCGACUACAGAAGUUGGAAUUCCUAGUAAAGGCGUGUCACUACAGCGCCGUGAAUACGUUCCCGGGCCUUGUACACACCGCCCGUUCACAUCAUGG